ACGGCAGUAUGGCAGUAUGGCAGUAUGGCAGUAUGGAUGUAUGGCAGUAUGGAUGUAUGGCAGUAUGGCAGUAUGGCAGUAUGGAUGUAUGGCAGUAUGGCAGCAUGGCAGUAUGGCGGCGGCCCCGCCCGGGGCGAUCUGUCCGGGGCUCUCCGGCCCCGCUACGCCCCGUGUGACUGACGGCUGCAGACGCCGCGAUCCCCGCAGCUCGCCGUUGUGCUGCCGCAGCUCGCGGCUCCUCGUGCACAGCCCCGCGCGGCACCACGAGACCCCGCGGCCCAUCGGGGGGGAAGGGGCCUCUGCAGCGCUUCUCGGCGGCCCCUCCGUGAUGGAGAGCAGUAAUAACGGCUCUGCGGUGCACAGCGGCAAUAACGGCUCUGCGGUGCACAGCGGCGGGGCCGCCUCCAUGACGGCACAGCGGCGUGGCCGUGGGGCUCUGCUCACCGCGGUGUGUGCGGCUGGAGGGGGCGGCUGCCUCCCGUCCGCCUGAUACAUUGAUAGAGGUGUUGCCAGAGGGGUUUGUUCUGUUCCUCUCCUUGAGAUUGAUGUCUAUAGACUCUGAAUUUUUUGGCAAGGCUGCAAGUAGAAGGGAAUCAGAAGGGAACCUGAAUUGAAUAAAAUCGCUGCUCUCACCCAGUGGUUAAAAACAAGCACCAAAAAGACACUGAAUCGGGCAGCAGCGAGGAGCAGCCCAUGGCGAACACACGGCAUCGUGUGCGCGGGGACUGAGGAGCAGCCUCUGCUGAUGUUCAAGGUGACCCCGGCCCAGGCAGCGCCGUGUAGGAUAGCGCAGCAAUGACAGCGUUUGGGCGUGUGGGGGCUGCUCUCAGCGCCCUCCCCCUUCCGCUCCCUCGGACACACCCAGCGCAGCAGCGCAGCCUCGUUCGGGGCACGGACCGAGCUGCUGCUGCGGCUCCGAACGACCCGACCCGGCCGCACGUGGGAUCCGGCACCGAGCUGUGUGUGUGUGUCAGCACGGCGGCGCUGCCCCGCGCCUGCGAGGCUGCGGUCCCCAAAGCACGCGGUGCCACGAGCCCCAUCCGUGAGCCCGUUACUGCUCCCGGCAGCCGACGUGCCGCCUUUCUGCGGGCUGCGCUGCGCAGGGACACAUCGCUCCCCCUGCAGCGGCGCCGCCGACACAAACCGCAUCCGCCGCUAUUCCCGCUCCUAACGGAACGGCACCGAGUGGAACGUGCGUGUCACCGGGAAGGCUCCGGGCAAACGCCCGCUAGAAGCGGCGGCAUCUCGUGAGCCGCGGCCCCGCCCGCGAAGGGCGCAGUCAGUGUUCGCCGGACGGAGCCCGUCGGCCCCGAGGCCUCGGAUCGGGCCCGGCGCUCUAAGGGCGCGGUUCCGGUUCGGCGCGGCGCGCGGUCCCCCCUCGAGUCCCCCCGCGCUGCUCCGCCAGCACCGCCGGCACCGAAUGGCCACGGCGCGCCCGGCACGGGCAGGGAGUGCGCCAGCCGCGAGCACGGGAGGGCGGCGGGACGGGUCGGGACGAGCCGCCUCCGGGUCCGCGCCGAACCCGACUGGGCCGCGGCCGGACCGAUGGAGGGUCCCGCGAGCCCCGGGCGGCGCUGCGCAUGCCCGGCGCGGCUCCGUGAAGUCGCAGGCCGCGGUACAGCUGGAUGGAACCGACCGGCCCAGCAUCACCUCGAUGACAGUUACAUUGAUUUCUGCGAUUCUUCCACUCCCACAAUAUUGUGAAGGGAGACUCGUGUAAAAUGCACUCACACAACAAAUGGACGCAGGUUACAGCGCGUGUCUUCUCUCCAGAGAAAAACCAUACCAUUUUACUUGAAAUUCAUUUUUUCCCCUAUUUCCCCCCGUGUAUUUUCUUUCAGAAGUGUAGAAAACCAA
Molecule: long non-coding RNA, 1857 nt
Organism: Coturnix japonica (Japanese quail)
Lineage: Eukaryota; Metazoa; Chordata; Aves; Galliformes; Phasianidae
Source: RefSeq, a predicted model, not a curated record